UACGAGGGGGGCAAGCGUUGUUCGGAAUUAUUGGGCGUAAAGGGCGCGUAGGCGGUGCGGUAAGUCACCUGUGAAACCUCUAGGCUCAACCUAGAGCCUGCAGGCGAAACUGCCGUGCUUGAGGGUGGGAGAGGUGCGUGGAAUUCCCGGUGUAGCGGUGAAAUGCGCAGAUAUCAGGAAGAACACCCGUGGCUAAGGCGGCUCUCUAGUACGGUACUGACGCUGAGACGCGAAAGCGUGGGGAGCGAACAGG
This 253-nucleotide ribosomal RNA is filed under the name uncultured bacterium. RNAcentral describes it as "partial 16S ribosomal RNA". It matches the Rfam family "Bacterial small subunit ribosomal RNA", at positions 524 to 776 of the family's 1533-position model. The record is from RNAcentral.